Molecule: long non-coding RNA, 1221 nt
Organism: Gambusia affinis (western mosquitofish)
Lineage: Eukaryota; Metazoa; Chordata; Actinopteri; Cyprinodontiformes; Poeciliidae
Exons: 4
Source: RefSeq, a predicted model, not a curated record
AAUGUUGAAGCACCUCUGGAUAGAUUUAUUGCUCUUCUGUGUGGUUUCUUCCAAAAGAAAAGGGAGUUUGUCAGCAUGUUUCACCUCACGGUGAAAAUCCCAUGUUAGUUCCACUCUGAGCUGGGUGCAAAGGAGUUCAUGUUUGUUUUAAUAUGUGGAUGCUAGUGGAGCCUGGCCAAACAUGGUUGUCUCUGACUUGACCCGUCUAUCAACUCUGUUCCCUGCCAGAUCGCGUCCAAGAUACGUGCACACUGUCCUCACCAUCUUCUAAAUCAGUUCAUUAAGAAUGUUUCAAGAGGAGACUUUUUCUCAUCUUUUAAGCUUUCUGUACUAGAAUUUCUUUCUUUUUAGGUUGCAAAGUAAACAUGGGAAUCGCUUCUUUUUGCUCAGAGUCUGCAGACAGUUUUGAGAGAGAGAAGAGACAAGGAGGAGCGAGGCGUGUCUGUGCUUCAUGGUAUAAUGAUGGAGUACCUUUAUUAGCAUAGUGAGUUUAUUUUCUCAACUUGUCCACCUCCCAGAUUUUCCUUCCAUCCUCUUUCUUUCUCCUCAUUCACACAAUGAACAUCUAAUACCAAGCACAAGGAUUUUUAGAAAAAGAUUCAAUUCGACAAAAAUCUUUUUUUUCUUUUCUUCGGAAUUACAUUAAACUUUGUGAUAUAUUUUUUUUUCUUUUAUUGCCUCAAAGCUGGCAGAAGCUUGGAACCUAAACCGAAGAGUAAAUGAGCAAAAAUCCAAUAAUGCAGGUUCUGAGAAUGUGGAUUGUGAUCAUUUGUGUGAGCGGCACAAUUUAUUCAGAGGAAACCCAAGAAUUAUUGCCUGACCUAAAUGCGAUCCUGGAAAUAAACUCUGACGCACCUGAAAUAGAAAUGGCCACCAGUCAUUCAUCAGGGACUGAUUCAGGGGAGAAGGUUUUGGAUCAGCUUAUCACUGGAACAGAAGUGCAGCCACGACUGGAAUCAGAAAGGAAGACGGAUCAGAGGAAAGCUGAUCGUAAAAAGCUAGAGGUUGUCAGAGGAAGGAGAAGUGCUUGGGGCAGGAGAAGACACGCUGCUACAGUAGAGGCUGCCGCGUAUCGAAUAGCCGGAUUAAGGCAACCUCUGAAAGGCUGGAGACAGAGUGCUAAGGGAGAGAUGGAAACCAGCCUCCUUAUGGCGACACUGAAGGAACUUCAUGCGGAAAAGAAACGACUGAUGGAUAAUGGAAAAACACAAGAGGAAGAGG